AUGGUCUCCCAAUGGCAGCUGCUCUGGCUGCUGGUGCUCUGGGCUCAGGAUUCCCAAGGGGUCGUUGUGCUGACCCAGUCUCCAGCCUCCUUGUCUGGAUCUCCAGGAGAGAGAGUCACCAUCAGCUGCAAGGCCAGUCAGAGUGUAAUAGAUGGUAAUGGUUAUGAGAGGUUAAAUUGGUACCAGCAGAAACCUGGCCAAGCCCCCAGGCUCCUCAUCUAUGAUGAGGAAUCUGGAGUCCCUGCCCGCUUCAGUGGCAGUGGGUCUGGGACAGAUUUCACCCUUACCAUCAGCAGCUUGGAGCCCGAGGAUGCUGGAGAUUAUUACUGUCAGCAGUAUGAGGGUUACCCUUGCCAGCAAGGCUUUAGGCCUCUCUUGGCUGUUCAGGGGAUUCAGCUCAGAGGAGCAGCUGCUUCCUCUCUGAACAUUUUCCCUCAUGAGUUCUUUGGAAUUGUCCUGGAUCCUUGCACUGCUGUAAAGACCCAAGCCUACCACAGUUGA
This is a non-coding RNA of Dromiciops gliroides (monito del monte), 501 nucleotides long. The record is from the annotation of a RefSeq genome assembly. Lineage: Eukaryota; Metazoa; Chordata; Mammalia; Microbiotheria; Microbiotheriidae.